AGCGAACGCUGGCGGCGUGCUUAACACAUGCAAGUCGAGUGCGUAGCCCUUUGUAGCAAUACAGAGGGUGGGCGCACGGCGCACGGGUGAGUAACACGUGGGUAACCUGCCCCUUGGUGGGAAUAACCCGCGAAGACGGGCGUAAUUACGCAUAACAAUUCGGGACGACAUGUUCUCGGACUCAAAGGAAGUGAUUCGCCGGAGGA
Molecule: ribosomal RNA, 206 nt
Filed under: uncultured bacterium
Lineage: Bacteria
Description: partial 16S ribosomal RNA
Rfam family: Bacterial small subunit ribosomal RNA
Source: RNAcentral